This 393-nucleotide ribosomal RNA is filed under the name uncultured bacterium. RNAcentral's name for it is "partial 16S ribosomal RNA". It matches the Rfam family "Bacterial small subunit ribosomal RNA", at positions 523 to 918 of the family's 1533-position model. The record is from RNAcentral.
AUACGGAGGAUCCGAGCGUUAUCCGGAUUUAUUGGGUUUAAAGGGUGCGCAGGCGGGAGAUUAAGUCGGCGGUGGAAUUUUGUAGGUCCACUGUAAAAGGGCCUUGGAAACUGGUUUCCUUGGGUGGAGAUGAAGUAGGCGGGAUUUGUGGGGUAGCGGUGGAAUGCAUAGAUAUCACGAGGAACUCCGAUUGCGCAGGCAGCUUACUAAACUACUACUGACGCUCAGGCACGAAGGCGUGGGGAUCAAACAGGAUUAGAUACCCUGGUAGUCCACGCAGUAAACGAUGAUUACUAGCUGUUUGCGAUACAAUGUAAGCGGCUGAGCGAAAGCGUUAAGUAAUCCACCUGGGGAGUACGUUCGCAAGAAUGAAACUCAAAGGAAUUGGCGGGG